Molecule: ribosomal RNA, 592 nt
Filed under: Bacteroides sp. HGA0258
Lineage: Bacteria; Pseudomonadati; Bacteroidota; Bacteroidia; Bacteroidales; Bacteroidaceae
Description: bacterial SSU rRNA
Rfam family: Bacterial small subunit ribosomal RNA
Source: RNAcentral
AGUCGAGGGGCAGCAUGGUCUUAGCUUGCAUAAGGCCGAUGGCGACCGGCGCACGGGUGAGUAACACGUAUCCAACCUGCCGUCUACUCUUGGACAGCCUUCUGAAAGGAAGAUUAAUACAAGAUGGCAUCAUGAGUCCGCAUGUUCACAUGAUUAAAGGUAUUCCGGUAGACGAUGGGGAUGCGUUCCAUUAGAUAGUAGGCGGGGUAACGGCCCACCUAGUCUUCGAUGGAUAGGGGUUCUGAGAGGAAGGUCCCCCACAUUGGAACUGAGACACGGUCCAAACUCCUACGGGAGGCAGCAGUGAGGAAUAUUGGUCAAUGGGCGAGAGCCUGAACCAGCCAAGUAGCGUGAAGGAUGACUGCCCUAUGGGUUGUAAACUUCUUUUAUAAAGGAAUAAAGUCGGGUAUGGAUACCCGUUUGCAUGUACUUUAUGAAUAAGGAUCGGCUAACUCCGUGCCAGCAGCCGCGGUAAUACGGAGGAUCCGAGCGUUAUCCGGAUUUAUUGGGUUUAAAGGGAGCGUAGAUGGAUGUUUAAGUCAGUUGUGAAAGUUUGCGGCUCAACCGUAAAAUUGCAGUUGAUACUGGAUAU